GUCUACGGCCAUGCUACUCUGAACAAGCCUGAUCCUGUCUGAUCUUGGAAGCUAAGCAGAGUCGGGCCUGGUUAGUACUUGGAUGGGCAACCGCCUAGGAAGACCAGGUGCUGUAGGCG
Molecule: ribosomal RNA, 119 nt
Filed under: Pteropus alecto (black flying fox)
Lineage: Eukaryota; Metazoa; Chordata; Mammalia; Chiroptera; Pteropodidae
Source: RNAcentral